This 572-nucleotide ribosomal RNA is filed under the name uncultured archaeon. RNAcentral describes it as "bacterial SSU rRNA". It matches the Rfam family "Archaeal small subunit ribosomal RNA", at positions 5 to 563 of the family's 1478-position model. The record is from RNAcentral.
CGGUUGAUCCUGCCAGAGGCCGCUGCUAUCCGGCUGGGACUAAGCCAUGCUAGUCUAGGGGCUUGUACUCCUUCGGGGGUGCAAGCACCGGCGGACGGCUCAGUAACACGUGGACAACCUGCCCUCGGGUGGGGGAUAACCCCGGGAAACUGGGGCUAAUCCCCCAUAGGUGAUGGGUGCUGGAAUGCCCCAUCUCCGAAAGCGCUUAGCGCCCGAGGAUGGGUCUGCGGCGGAUUAGGUAGUUGGUGGGGUAACGGCCCACCAAGCCUAAGAUCCGUACGGGCUGUGGGAGCAGGAGCCCGGGGAUGGACCCUGAGACAAGGGUCCAGGCCCUACGGGGCGCAGCAGGCGCGAAACCUCCGCAAUGCGGGAAACCGCGACGGGGUUAGCCGGAGUGCCCGUGCAUUGCACGGGCUGUCGGGGUGCCUAAACAGCACCCCAUAGCAAGGGCCGGGCAAGGCCGGUGGCAGCCGCCGCGGUAAGACCGGCGGCCCGAGUGGCGGCCACUCUUAUUGGGCCUAAAGCGUCCGUAGCCGGCCCAGUAAGUCCCCCGGGAAAUCUGGUCGCUUAAC